CAGAAGUUAGCCGGNGCUUAUUCUUACGGUACCGUCAUGACCUCCCUUUAUUAGAAAGAGGCUUUUCGUUCCAGUACAAAAGCAGUUCUACAACCCGAAGGCCUUCAUCCUGCACGCAGGCAUGGCUGGAUCAGGGUUUCCCCCAUUAGUCCAUAAAUUCCCCACNUGCUGCCUCCCGUAGG
Molecule: ribosomal RNA, 182 nt
Filed under: uncultured bacterium
Lineage: Bacteria
Description: partial 16S ribosomal RNA
Source: RNAcentral